GCCAGGUGUGAUGUCAUGCACCUUAGUCCCAGCUAUUCUGGAGGCUGAGGCAGGAGGAUCGCUCGAGCCCAGGAGUUCUGGGCUGUAGUGUGCUAUGCCAAUUGUGUGUUCACACUCAGUUCAGCAUCAAUAUGGUGACUUCCUGGGAGCAAGGGACCACUAGGUUGCCUAAGGAGGGGUAAACCAGCCCAGGUCAGAAAUGGAACAGGUCAAAACUCCUGUGCUGAUUAGUAGUGGGAUCACACCUGUGAAUAGCCACUGCACUCCAGCCUGGGCAACUUCAUGAGAUCCCAUCUCU
Molecule: unclassified non-coding RNA, 298 nt
Organism: Rhinopithecus bieti (black snub-nosed monkey)
Lineage: Eukaryota; Metazoa; Chordata; Mammalia; Primates; Cercopithecidae
Rfam family: Metazoan signal recognition particle RNA
About the family: The signal recognition particle (SRP) is a universally conserved ribonucleoprotein.
Source: Ensembl